This 1795-nucleotide long non-coding RNA is filed under the name Panax ginseng (ginseng). RNAcentral describes it as "long non-coding RNA (PGIN_LNC002019)". The record is from RNAcentral. Lineage: Eukaryota; Viridiplantae; Streptophyta; Magnoliopsida; Apiales; Araliaceae.
CCUUAGUUAAGCUGGCUAGGGGUUGUUCGACAGCAGUUGCAAAGUGCAGGAACUACUUAAGUUAGCAUCAGUAAGUGUUAAUCCAUCGUUGUAGUAACAAUUUUAAAUUUAUAUAAUUUAUUGCAUGACACAAUUAAUGUAACACAUAUUGUUAUAUUUUAACUAUAGUAUACUAGACCCGGUCGCUAAACACACCUUACAUUUUAUCUGUUUGACGCACCUCCCGACCGAGUGCAUGCGCUACAACCAGUACGCACAGUACGAUGCAUGAUUUAUGCAGACUGUCUUGCGAGAGUUUCACGAAAUUUAAUAAGUUUAUAUUAAUUAGUUAUAUAUUAGUACAUAGUUGUUGCCUAAGAAAUUAAUUGUUCCUAACUUUUAAACUUUUGUUAUAGACUUAUUAUAAAUAUGACGAGGGCAUCUCUCAGGCAGCUAGUGACGAUGUUAUUAUUGCACAUGUCGCUGCGAAUUACUCCAGCUGGCUGUAUGAGAUGUGUCGGAGGGCAACCUGGGCAGUUGAUGACUAACCCAAGAACACCAUCAUAGAUCAGCAGCCCCACAGUCUCCGAUUUAGCAUGGCAGGCUAUGUGUGCGUAUUGGGAUGAUGAUGACUUCAAGAAGAAGUCUGAGCAUGCAAAAAAGAACCAUUCCAGCUCCGCAUAGUACACACGACUGGCUCGUAGUCUUUCCAGAAGGCGAAGUCGGUAAGUGUAAUAUUUUUAGGUGUUUAGUUAUAAGGAUAACACUAAUCUUACUUUUGAGUAAUCUCAAUAUUCACUCCUUAAUAAAAUGAUAUAAUUAACUCACGUAUACAAAAUAAAUUACAUGACCGAUUUGAGUAGCUUCGGGACCAGCGUAUAGCUUAGUUGGAGGCUGCUAGAGGGGGUUCUGAGCUGUUAGAUUUCACCAUCCCCCCUCUCGAGAUUGUAUUAUCUAAGGAUAAGGAGCUAAGAUUAUGGGUCGCGUCUCAGGAUCCCCCUGCUAGCAGUACCGAUAGGUAUCGAGUGUUGGGCCUAUCGAGGAUACCUGUAUAUACACUACCUAGACGUAAUAAUAUUUUUUAUGUUUCACGGAAUUAUCAUAACUUAUCAUAUAAUAUAAAUUAUUAUUAGUAAUGUUAUAUAUAUUUUCGCAGGCUCUAACUAGCGCCAGCAUCCAAGAGCACCUAUUGGAUCAUCUCAUACGGGCGCUGGCUUGGACGACGAGUUAUUCUAGAGGCUGAUAGCGGCGGUAUCGGAUAGGUUCCAUAUCGAUCUGAUAUUUCGUCGUCACCAAUUGCCUAGUAGUUCUCUAAUUCUUCACCAGCUCACUCAAAAGGUUCUAGUAAGGGCCACAAUAGAGAGUACGGGAUUACCAGAGGAGCCAUUUGUCAUGUUAAGCGGCGAGAUGCUCGGGAUGAUGGUUAACCUCCUAGAGCAGGCUUUUUGUCAGCCCCCGCCUACUCAAGUAUUCUGCAUGUUUAUGUUAUUUUCAUUUAACAGUAUCUUUUUAAUUCUCACAUAUAUAAAGACUAAUGAUUUUUAUUUUUAAUUCUAUCAACAGGGUGGCUAUAGCGAGUAGACUGACGAUGGCAACCGAGGACAACAAAGCUGAUUUUUAUAUACCUGAGCAGUAUCGUCGUCCACCCCCGCACGAUGAUGAUCCGACUACUAGUUUAUAGUUCAUUUGUAUUCAUUUUAUUCAUUAAAUUGUAGAUCAUUUGUUCAUAUAUUGUAGUAUAGUUGCGUCUAUACAAGUUUUGUAAAUCAUAUUGUAUAUAAUUUAUGAAACAUUAGCUUAUAUAUAUUUGUAAUUG